RNAcentral lists this transfer RNA (73 nucleotides) under Phyllodytes brevirostris. RNAcentral describes it as "tRNA-Leu". It matches the Rfam family "tRNA". From Rfam's summary of the family: Transfer RNA (tRNA) molecules are approximately 80 nucleotides in length. Their secondary structure includes four short double-helical elements and three loops (D, anti-codon, and T loops). The record is from RNAcentral. Lineage: Eukaryota; Metazoa; Chordata; Amphibia; Anura; Hylidae.
AUUAGCGUAGCAAAGUCUGGUAUUGCAAAAGAUCUAAGCCCUUUACACAGAGAUUCAACUUCUCUCGCUAAUU